UCAACAGAUGGAAGAGUGUCAUGGAAGCGUGCCUGUGAGGAAGAAACUGGAGCAAAAAAGAUGGAAACCCCAGCAAGGACGAUGAGUAAUGAAGAUUGCACCUUUGCAAUUUAUCUUCUCUCUCACAAAAUUAAUGCUGGAAUUCGAGAUUACUGUGGGGCUGUUUAUUAGUGAUGACAACUGUAUGGGCUUGGUUUGGAAAAUGUGUUCUCUCCUGAGUUGUUGAGUCAUGUGAGGCCAUUUGCAGUUCUUUUUUUUUUCCCCCCUAAAAAUGACAAAGAGUGAUAAUUUAAUUUCUGAAGUCUAAUGGCCACACAGCUAUUUUUGCCUAGAUUCCUUUCUUUUUCAAACAAAAUAAGCAAUUCUCCCUAGAUACCCUUUGUUUCAGAUACAAAUCUCAAGAUAUAAUUUCAAAGAAUAUGAUGUGUUGAGAGGAAAAAUGUUAAACAUAGAACAAGAAUUCAAAUUUACAGAAAAUAGUUUAUUCAAAAUACUUAUUAAACAUAUUUUGUGUGAAGUAUCAUGCUAAAAAUGUGGAGGUGGAGGUGACAAAUAUACAACAAAUUUCUGAAUUCAAGGAGUUUUUCAUUCUAUAAGGGAAGCAGACAUGUAAAAAAUAAUGAGGAAACAACUUCCAGAACAGAGUCAGAGCAGCUUUGUUAUAAUGAGUAGCCAUUUAAAGACAAUAUGAUUAUAUAGAGAUAAUAUGUAUUAAUUUGUUUAUAUAGAUAUAUAAACAGCAAAUAAAUAUUUUUGUAAUUAAGCAGUCCCCACUUACAUCUCGAAUCCUAAUCAAGGACACACAAGGGACAGCAAUCAUUCUCAUCAGUAAGCCUCUCCUCCAUAGGCAGCUAUGUAGACCUUGGGCUACAACCAAAGUUUUGCUAGUUUUCAUGCUGAAUGCCAGAAAUGGGUUUUCCUGGUGAAUUUGGUGUACUCUUAGUUAACAUGAUUAGUAGAUGAAUGUUAGAAGGAGUCCUAUAUUGGUAAAAUUAUAGUGUUCUAAAAGAAAUUGAUUGUCAGGUAUACUUAAGAGACACUUCAGACCCACGCAUGAACAGUAUCUAAGAAUCUAGCAGGACCACUAUUUUUUUUUUUUUUUUGAGUCGGAGUCUCUGUUGUUGCCCGGGC
Molecule: long non-coding RNA, 1131 nt
Filed under: Homo sapiens (human)
Lineage: Eukaryota; Metazoa; Chordata; Mammalia; Primates; Hominidae
Description: HSALNT0066332
Source: RNAcentral